RNAcentral lists this ribosomal RNA (439 nucleotides) under uncultured bacterium. RNAcentral's name for it is "bacterial SSU rRNA". It matches the Rfam family "Bacterial small subunit ribosomal RNA", at positions 29 to 464 of the family's 1533-position model. The record is from RNAcentral.
AGCGAACGUUUGCGGCGGGCUUAACACAUGCAAGUCGAACGGGCUGUUCCUUCGGGGGCAGUCAGUGGCGCACGGGUGCGUAACACGUAGGUAAUCAACCCUCUGGUUGGGGAUAACACUUCGAAAGGAGUGCUAAUACCCGGUAUGGCGCAGCGGUCUUCGGAUCGCGGCGAGAAAGACCCGCAAGGGUUGCCAGAGGACGAGCCUGCGGCCCAUCAGCUAGUUGGCGAGGUAACGGCUCACCAAGGCGAAGACGGGUAGCUGGUCUGAGAGGAUGAUCAGCCACACUGGAACUGAGACACGGUCCAGACUCCUACGGGAGGCAGCAGUGGGGAAUUUUGGACAAUGGGCGCAAGCCUGAUCCAGCCAUGCCGCGUGAGUGAAGAAGGCCUCGGUUGUAAGACUCUUUCGUCCGGGACGGAAAGUACGCACAGGUUAA